Molecule: non-coding RNA, 1038 nt
Filed under: Trichomonas vaginalis G3
Lineage: Eukaryota; Parabasalia; Trichomonadida; Trichomonadidae
Description: Eukaryotic large subunit ribosomal RNA
Rfam family: Eukaryotic large subunit ribosomal RNA
Source: Rfam by way of RNAcentral
GGAGAGUCGGAUACUUUGAGAGUAGUGUCUAAGGGGGUGGUAUGUCCCAUCCAAGGCUAAAUAACGUGAGGAGACCGAUAGAUUACAAGUAGUGUGAACGAAAGAUGAAAAGAACUCUAAAACAGAGGGUGAAAAGUUCCUGAACUUGCUUAGGGUUAAGGCUAUUUAUAGUACCCGUCUUGAAACACGGAUUAGGGAGUUUAUCUGUAGUGCGAGUCUUUGCACGUUAACUGUAAAGGCGUAGAGAAAGCAACUGGCGUUUGCAUGGCUACUGAGCAUUACUGAUAGGACCCGAAAGGUGGUGAACUUUGCCUGCACAGGUUGAAGUCAGGGGAAACUCUGAUGGAGGACCGUACGGGUUAUUGAUGUGCAAAUCAUUUUUCUGAUGUAGGUAAAGGUGCGAAAGACUCAUCGAACCACCUAAUAGCUGGUUUCCUCCGAAGUUUCCCUCAGGAUAGCUGUAAUGCAUUUAGUUAAGGGGAGUAGAGAUAUGGGUAGAGGUGCAGGGAGCCUUCGGGUUCUCAACUUAUUUCCAAACUUCGAACCUCCUUGUUAGGCAUUUACCUAACUGGAAAUGCUUAAAUGAAUUAGCGUUACAAGUGGGCUCUGACCGGUAAGCGGUCAUGGCGAAAUGGGAUGAACCAUACGUCUGAAUAAGGUGCCGAAAUGUACUAUCACUGAUACCAUAAAGGGAGUCCAUGUAUUUAGACAGCAGGUCGGUGCCCCUAAAAGCAGGUAUCCGCUAAAGAGUGUGUUAAAACUCACCUGCCGAAUACUAGGGCCCCGAAAAUGAAUGGCGCAUAUAGUACUACCGAUCUCAGACAUCAGUUCUAUUGAACUGAGAGUAGGGGGAUGUGGACAUUUUUGUGAAGGUGCAAUGUGAGUUGGACUGGAAGGAUGUCUAUUACAGAUCCUAAUUGAAGUAGCGAUUAUCCAGGCUUGUAUCCUGGGGGCUGAUGAGGAGUAGGGUUUCUGGACAACUUAAACAGAUCCAGAGUUAGUCGAUCCUAAUCUCAAUAAUGGGAGAAAGGGAGUACA